CGUUCCCGGGUCUUGUACACACCGCCCGUCACACCAUGGGAGCGGGUUUCACCAGAAGUGGGUAGCUUAACCGGUAAGGAGGGCGCCUACCAACGGUGGGAUUCGUGACUGGGGUG
RNAcentral lists this ribosomal RNA (116 nucleotides) under uncultured bacterium. RNAcentral describes it as "partial 16S ribosomal RNA". It matches the Rfam family "Bacterial small subunit ribosomal RNA", at positions 1369 to 1482 of the family's 1533-position model. The record is from RNAcentral.